Small nuclear RNA from Budorcas taxicolor (takin), 104 nucleotides. Lineage: Eukaryota; Metazoa; Chordata; Mammalia; Artiodactyla; Bovidae. The record is from RefSeq and is a predicted model, not a curated record.
GUGCUUGGUUCAGCAGUACAUAUACUAAAAUUGGAACACUACAGAGAUUAACAUGGCCCCUACACAAGGAUGACACACAAAUUUGUGAAGCAUUUCAUAUUUUU